UUAGGAAUAUUGGACAAUGGGGGAAACCCUGAUCCAGCCAUGCCGCGUGUGUGAUGAAGGCCUUAGGGUUGUAAAGCACUUUCGUUGGGGAUGAUAAUGACCGUACCCAAAGAAGAAGCCACGGCUAAAUUCGUGCCAGCAGCCGCGGUAAUACGAAUGUGGCAAGCGUUGUUCGGAAUCACUGGGCGUAAAGAAUGCGUAGGCGGCUUGACAAGUCAGGAGUGAAAUCCCAGGGCUUAACCCUGGAACUGCUUUUGAAACUGUUUUGCUAGAGUCCCGGAGGGGUUGGCGGAAUUCCGAGUGUAGAGGUGAAAUUCGCAGAUAUUCGGAGGAACACCAGUGGCGUAGGCGGCCAACUGGACGGGAACUGACGCUGAGGCAUGAAAGUGUGGGGAUCAAACAGG
This 404-nucleotide ribosomal RNA is filed under the name uncultured bacterium. RNAcentral's name for it is "bacterial SSU rRNA". It matches the Rfam family "Bacterial small subunit ribosomal RNA", at positions 355 to 776 of the family's 1533-position model. The record is from RNAcentral.